Molecule: non-coding RNA, 940 nt
Organism: Odocoileus virginianus texanus
Lineage: Eukaryota; Metazoa; Chordata; Mammalia; Artiodactyla; Cervidae
Source: RefSeq, a predicted model, not a curated record
GGUGGCCGCAGGCCGUGUGCAGAGACGCCCCGCACCCUGACCUGGACCUCGAGCAGGGGCAGUGCUGCAGCCCCUCCCCACUAAUGAGAUCCCGAUAAAACAGCCCCGCCCACCGCCUAUGUGAAGAGCAUUUGCUCUGAGCUCGCCCGGCUCCGAUCUCUGAUGAAAGGAUAAAGAUCAAAGACCUUUGCUUCUGAACCAAACCCCGUCUCAUUCUAUUGUCGCAAAUGACAGUGGGCAGGAGGACCCUAGCUGGGACCCGACUGGAAAGGAGCCCACAGCAACUGUCUCCCCUGAGGACAGUGCAGUAAUGGAACGCUUAGGAAGGGGACCCCAUCAUAUGCCAAGUGGGGUAGAGCCACCGCUAGAGGCACUGCACGGAGGAUGCACCAGCAUCGAACUCACCAUCAAGGAUGCCAAGAGCAAGUGGAUGUGACACUCAUUUUCUAUUGCCACAAUGACGGGAAGGAGAGCUGAAAACAGGAGUGCCGGCAGGAGAGCUGCAGGGCAGGACGCAAUGUCAAGUGACCGGAGUCUCGUUAUUAGGAAAUGUGAAACGGUUACUGAAACUGGAGCAGCAAAUCCUGCCAGUCAUCCAACAGCAAGAAUUGUCCCCUAAGAGAGCUGAUUUACACAGCAGGACAUCAAAUAGAUGAUAAAGACACAGAACACUGAACGGCGUGUCCAGACAUGGUGUGAAGGGCCAGGAAGAGGGGUGUCAUUACAGAUCAGCUGGUUGGAUCACCUACCAGUUAGGGCAGGUUUGUGAGUAUGAGCCUCAGGCACACUGGAUCUGUUCUCUGUUCCACGGCUCCCAACUACAUCCCCGGCAUCUACUUACGCACUCAAUCAAGAUCAGAACGACUAUAUACCUUAUUGUGGGUGGAUCAGUCCUUGCAUAUCACCAGACUUGAGAAGCAGUUGCCUAAUCAUCGAUCAU